Non-coding RNA from Nicotiana tabacum (common tobacco), 360 nucleotides. Lineage: Eukaryota; Viridiplantae; Streptophyta; Magnoliopsida; Solanales; Solanaceae. The record is from RefSeq and is a predicted model, not a curated record.
UCUACCUCUCUCUCUCUUUCUAUCUCUAUCUCUCUAUCUCUAUCUCUCUCUCUCCUCCGUAAGAACAAGAAGCUGAAGUUUCAUAAAAAAAACCAUGGAUUUCUACUAAAUUAACGCACAAAAUUCGUUUUUGGUGAAGAUUAAGUUGCUCCUCUUGGUAUAUAAACUCUUGAAAAAAAUCAAAGGGGAAGUGUUUGAGGAAGUGGACAUAUUUGGUUUGUUUACGGCGUAGACGAUUCGAACGUCCCCAAGUUGUGAUUGAACUGUUUUGUGGUAAAACACCAAGUAGGAAAUGUUCGGGAUAAAAUCUGAAGAUGGCCAGGGUGAAGUAGUCUCUUUGGGAGAAUUUAUGGAGAUCAC